This 301-nucleotide ribosomal RNA is filed under the name uncultured bacterium. RNAcentral describes it as "partial 16S ribosomal RNA". It matches the Rfam family "Bacterial small subunit ribosomal RNA", at positions 509 to 809 of the family's 1533-position model. The record is from RNAcentral.
CAGCCGCCGCGGUAACACGUAGGGUGCGAGCGUUAAUCGGAAUUACUGGGCGUAAAGCGUGCGCAGGCGGUUAUAUAAGACAGAUGUGAAAUCCCCGGGCUCAACCUGGGACCUGCAUUUGUGACUGUAUAGCUAGAGUACGGUAGAGGGGGAUGGAAUUCCGCGUGUAGCAGUGAAAUGCGUAGAUAUGCGGAGGAACACCGAUGGCGAAGGCAAUCCCCUGGACCUGUACUGACGCUCAUGCACGAAAGCGUGGGGAGCAAACAGGAUUAGAUACCCGUGUAGUCCCUGUCUCUUAUAA